GUGUUUCUUCAUUUAAUAUGUUUGCAUGUAGUUUGUAUUUUCGCCACUAGGUGGCCACCUGAGCACGUCGAUACAACGCAACGUCGUUCAGACAGAGAGAGAUGUGCGUCGUUGGAAGAAAGCCACCAUUUGUGCUUCGUCUUUGUUUCUUAGAUGCCGAAAAGCUGUAGCUACACUAGAGUCGUGUUCACUUUCGAGACUUCUCAAACUCCAGAGUUCCCCAUGAGGACCUGCAGGGUAAAACCAUUUUUAAAAUUGUUUUUUUUGCAAUUCUAGUUCCUACAUACUGUGCACAUAGAAUGUUUAUCUAUAGUCCUUACUAGGUAUCUGUCAUACGAUACCAUAUUCAUACCCCGGACAGAUUUAGUGUUAAAGUAAUAUUCCAAGUAAUAUUUAGCCAACAUGUCUUUCUGACUCAAAAUAAUGUCAGUAUUUGAUAUUAUUUUGUUUUCCACCCAGAAUCCCAUCUUGAAUCUGAGGAGAGAGCUAAAAAAUUUUGGUGAUGGCAUGGAGACUAUCCCACCUCAAAGACUUGGAGCGCUUUGCUGAAGAUAAAUUAUCCAAAUACCUGUGAACACAUGGAAAACUUCUGGUCAGAUAUUACAAGAGCAAGUUAGACUGCUGUAUUGCCAAUUAUGAUUUUUCCUUCAAUCAUUAAGAAACAUAGAAAUAAU
Molecule: non-coding RNA, 674 nt
Organism: Poecilia reticulata (guppy)
Lineage: Eukaryota; Metazoa; Chordata; Actinopteri; Cyprinodontiformes; Poeciliidae
Source: RefSeq, a predicted model, not a curated record